This 58-nucleotide microRNA precursor is filed under the name Podarcis lilfordi (Lilford's wall lizard). The record is from RNAcentral. Lineage: Eukaryota; Metazoa; Chordata; Lepidosauria; Squamata; Lacertidae.
GUGGGCUGGUCCACCGUCCCUCAGACCAUGUGGUCUGAGGGACAGUGGACCAGCCCAC